This 250-nucleotide ribosomal RNA is filed under the name uncultured prokaryote. RNAcentral describes it as "partial 16S ribosomal RNA". It matches the Rfam family "Bacterial small subunit ribosomal RNA", at positions 524 to 774 of the family's 1533-position model. The record is from RNAcentral.
UACGUAGGGGGCGAGCGUUAUCCGAAUUUAUUGGGCGUAAAGCGUGUGUAGGCGGUUUAUUAAGUCUAAGAUCAAAUCCUGGGGCUUAACCUCAGUUCGUUUUAGAAACUGGUAGACUUGAGUGUGGUAGAGGCAAAUGGAAUUUCUAGUGUAGCGGUUAAAUGCGUAGAUAUUAGAAGGAACACCAGUGGCGAAGGCGGUCUGCUGGGCCAUUACUGACGCUGAGACACGAAAGCGUGGGGAGCAAAUA